Molecule: long non-coding RNA, 1133 nt
Organism: Neopelma chrysocephalum (saffron-crested tyrant-manakin)
Lineage: Eukaryota; Metazoa; Chordata; Aves; Passeriformes; Pipridae
Exons: 3
Source: RefSeq, a predicted model, not a curated record
CUGAAGAGAGGAGAGCCCUAGGGUCAGCCAGAGGGCAAGAAUGUGGCUCCAGGGGCUGGGGUGCCCAUUUUGCAGCCCCCCCUCUCCACUCUCCGUGUUUCAGACUGGGUUGGUGUCUUCCCUGACACCCUCCAGGCAGGUUGUUUCUAUUUUAGGUGACCAUCAGCUGGCAUUUGCCCUUCUCCUGGAGGCUCAGGCCAGACAAAUGCUCUGCGGGCUAUUUUUGGCUUCAUACCAUAAUUGUAUGUGAUCCUAAAUUCCCUGUGGGUCUGAGUGCCUGAGGGGCUGUGCAGGGAGAGGGAGGGGCAGCUUCUGGAAUAAACCCAGGGAUUUAAGGAUGACCGGGACUCCAUAGAGCAGUAAGAGAGUUGGCACACACAGCUGCAGGGACAGGAUUAAAAAGACAUUUAUGCUUCAGCAGCACCAUUAUGGAACUUAAAUCCAGAGUGGGAGUUGCUCAGUCAGGGAAAAAAGUUGCUUCCUGCCCCUGAUUCUGCAACUGGGAGCACUUUAAGAUGUUCUCCUGCCCCGAUUCUGCAGUUGGGAGCAGUUUAGGAUGUUUUCCUUCCCCUAAUACUGCAACUGGGAGCAGUUUAGGAUGUUUUCCUGCCCCUGAUGCUGCAAGUGGGAGCAGUUUAGGAUGUUUUCCUUCAAGCUGGCAGUGGCUAUCUGUGCAAUUUUGAGGACUCAAACCCACAGUUUGAGAAAACUGACUUCCAGUUUAGCAUUGGAGUGGUUUUCCAGUACAACCACCACUCAGUCUGACCCAGGGUCAAAUGCUUCUAUGCAUUUGAUACCUUCCAGUGGCUGUAUUUCCUAUAAUCCUUUGUGCAGCCUCCUGAAGUUCCCAAGAAGGUGCAUUGCACAGAUUAGUGUAAAGUUUUGAGGGAAUUUAAACCUUUGGACAAAAACUAUAAAGAGCUGAGUGCCAUCUGCACAGUCCUCUGCCUUUUCCCCCACCUCAGAUGGGUGCCCCACAGUAGAAAAGGUCUUAAGUGUAGGAUGACAUUUCUUCUGACCUCAAGCAGAGCUCUGGUCUUUCAGCCUGGAGAAGACUCCAGACCUUAGAGCCCCUCCCAGUGCCUAAAGGGGCUCCAAGAGAGCUGGAGAGAGACUUUGGACAAGGGCUUGGA